This 484-nucleotide ribosomal RNA is filed under the name uncultured bacterium. RNAcentral describes it as "partial 16S ribosomal RNA". It matches the Rfam family "Bacterial small subunit ribosomal RNA", at positions 30 to 507 of the family's 1533-position model. The record is from RNAcentral.
AUUGAACGCUGGCGGCAGGCCUAACACAUGCAAGUCGAGCGGAUGAAGGGAGAUUGCUCCUGGCUUCAGCGGCGGACGGGUGAGUAAUGCCUAGGAAUCUGCCUGGUAGUGGGGGAUAACGUCCGGAAACGGGCGCUAAUACCGCACACGUCCUGAGGGAGAAAGUGGGGGAUCUUCGGACCUAACGCUAUCUGAUGAGCCUAGGUCGGAUUAGCUAGUUGGUGGGGUAAAGGCCUACCAAGGCGACGAUCCGUAACUGGUCUGAGAGGAUGAUCAGUCACACUGGAACUGAGACACGGUCCAGACUCCUACGGGAGGCAGCAGUGGGGAAUAUUGGACAAUGGGCGAAAGCCUGAUCCAGCCAUGCCGCGUGUGUGAAGAAGGUCUUCGGAUUGUAAAGCACUUUAAGUUGGGAGGAAGGGCAGUAAGUUAAUACCUUGCUGUUUUGACGUUACCAACAGAAAAAGCACCGGCUAACUUCGUG